CAGGCCUAACACAUGCAAGUCGAACGGAGAUUGCAUUUAUGCUUUCUUAGUGGCGAACGGGUGAGUAACGCGUAGACAACCUACCUUCUAGAUGGGGACAACACUGCGAAAGUGGUGCUAAUACCGAAUGUUGUAUUAAGUGUGCAUAUGCUAAAUACUAAAGGUGGCCUCUAUUCAUAAGCUACCACUAGAAGAUGGGUCUGCGUCUGAUUAGCUAGUUGGUGAGGUAAUGGCUCACCAAGGCGACGAUCAGUAGCCGGUCUGAGAGGAUGAACGGCCACACUGGGACUGAGACACGGCCCAGACUCCUACGGGAGGCAGCAGUGGGGAAUCUUCCGCAAUGGACGAAAGUCUGACGGAGCAACGCCGCGUGAGUGAAGAAGGUUUUCGGAUCGUAAAACUCUGUUUUCAGGGACGAUGUGCGAUGUGUAAAUAAUGCAUUGUAAUGACGGUACCUGAGUAGAAAGCCACGGCUAACUACGUGCCAGCAGCCGCGGUAAUACGUAGGUGGCAAGCGUUGUCCGGAAUUAUUGGGCGUAAAGCGCGCGCAGGUGGGAUAUUAAGUCUGGUGUUAAAGUUCGGGGCUCAACCCCGUGAAGCAUUUGGAAACUGAUAUUCUUGAGUGCAGGAGAGGAAAGUGGAAUUCCUAGUGUAGCGGUGAAAUGCGUAGAUAUUAGGAGGAACACCAGUGGCGAAGGCGACUUUCUGGACUGUGUCUGACACUGAGGCGCGAAAGCCAGGGUAGUGAACGGGAUUAGAUACCCCGGUAAUCCUGGCCGUAAACGAUGGGUACUAGGUGUUGGGGGUAUCGACCCCUCCAGUGCCGGAGUUAACGCAAUAAGUACCCCGCCUGGGGAGUACGGCCGCAAGGUUGAAACUCAA
RNAcentral lists this ribosomal RNA (882 nucleotides) under uncultured bacterium. Its description in RNAcentral is "bacterial SSU rRNA". It matches the Rfam family "Bacterial small subunit ribosomal RNA", at positions 43 to 904 of the family's 1533-position model. The record is from RNAcentral.